RNAcentral lists this ribosomal RNA (253 nucleotides) under uncultured bacterium. Its description in RNAcentral is "partial 16S ribosomal RNA". It matches the Rfam family "Bacterial small subunit ribosomal RNA", at positions 524 to 776 of the family's 1533-position model. The record is from RNAcentral.
UACAGAGGUCUCAAGCGUUGUUCGGAUUCAUUGGGCGUAAAGGGUGCGUAGGUGGCGCUGUAAGUCGGGUGUGAAAUUUCGGAGCUUAACUCCGAAACUGCAUUCGAUACUGCGGUGCUUGAGGACUGGAGAGGAGACUGGAAUUCAUGGUGUAGCAGUGAAAUGCGUAGAGAUCAUGAGGAAGACCAGUGGCGAAGGCGGGUCUCUGGACAGUUCCUGACAUUGAGGCACGAAGGCCAGGGGAGCAAACGGG